Molecule: long non-coding RNA, 734 nt
Filed under: Myripristis murdjan (pinecone soldierfish)
Lineage: Eukaryota; Metazoa; Chordata; Actinopteri; Holocentriformes; Holocentridae
Description: lncRNA (ENSMMDG00005012539.1)
Source: RNAcentral
CCGCUGGCGCUUUCCGUAGCAGCAGUUAAGUCACCAGAGCGAAACAUGGCUGCCAACAGUGCUGGAGGGCAGGGGUCCUGCCAGCAGGGCCGUCCUGGGACACAGACACAGUGACCGGCUCCUGUUGGUCAGCGCCGUGGCUGUCAGGCACAGCAGCUCACAGUCCAACUUUUCCUAGUGGGACCACCUGGAGGUUUUCCCGCGGGUCUCGGCCUCCGCCUGUCUCUGCCACACCAGCCGUGUCAACAUGAGUAAAGCGUGCCGGAUCACGGUGUUUAACUUUGGGGAGAAGCAGACCAUCGACCUGUGCGACACCGAGGAGGAGUUGCAGAACAUGACAGUUAGUCAGCUGAAGAGAAAGAUCACCCGGAGCCUUGGGAAGGAUGAGGAUGAUUUAUGGCUGGUCUACAGAGUCUGGAGGAUGACUCAAAACGGCUGCCCUGCACUUCAGUCAUCUGUGUCAGUCAACUAUUUGGAUGGAAGUGGAAGUGCAACUCCUUUGGAGAAUUGGAAGUUUAUCAUAAAGAUAAUAAACCAUUGACUGUCUGUCCUCUGGUCAUCAUACUUUAACUGGUGUGCCUAUGCAGAAGCAAUUUCCUACAAUAAUAUAGAAAAUACACUGUAAAUCUUCCAAAGCCUCUUAGGUUUAGAUUUUUCAUGUUCUCUCUGUAUCUGAAUCAUUUUAUUCCACGCAUUAUACCAGUGGUUGGGGAAAACUGUGAAGCCAAUUAAAA